GAUGAACGCUGACAGAAUGCUUAACACAUGCAAGUCAACUUGGACUUCGGUUUGGGUGGCGGACGGGUGAGUAACGCGUAAAGAACUUGCCUCACAGAUAGGGACAACAUUUGGAAACGAAUGCUAAUACCUGAUAUCAUGAUUUUAGGGCAUCCUAGAAUUAUGAAAGCUAUAUGCACUGUGAGAGAGCUUUGCGUCCCAUUAGCUAGUUGGAGAGGUAACGGCUCACCAAGGCGAUGAUGGGUAGCCGGCCUGAGAGGGUGAUCGGCCACAAGGGGACUGAGACACGGCCCUUACUCCUACGGGAGGCAGCAGUGGGGAAUAUUGGACAAUGGACCAAGAGUCUGAUCCAGCAAUUCUGUGUGCACGAUGAAGUUUUUCGGAAUGUAAAGUGCUUUCAGUUGGGAAGAAAAAAAUGACGGUACCAACAGAAGAAGUGACGGCUAAAUACGUGCCAGCAGCCGCGGUAAUACGUAUGUCACAAGCGUUAUCCGGAUUUAUUGGGCGUAAAGCGCGUCUAGGUGGUUAUGUAAGUCUGAUGUGAAAAUGCAGGGCUCAACUCUGUAUUGCGUUGGAAACUGUGUAACUAGAGUACUGGAGAGGUAAGCGGAACUACAAGUGUAGAGGUGAAAUUCGUAGAUAUUUGUAGGAAUGCCGAUGGGGAAGCCAGCUUACUGGACAGAUACUGACGCUGAAGCGCGAAAGCGUGGGUAGCAAACAGG
RNAcentral lists this ribosomal RNA (722 nucleotides) under uncultured Fusobacterium sp. RNAcentral describes it as "bacterial SSU rRNA". It matches the Rfam family "Bacterial small subunit ribosomal RNA", at positions 28 to 776 of the family's 1533-position model. The record is from RNAcentral. Lineage: Bacteria; Fusobacteriati; Fusobacteriota; Fusobacteriia; Fusobacteriales; Fusobacteriaceae.